RNAcentral lists this ribosomal RNA (410 nucleotides) under Opisthopatus cinctipes. RNAcentral describes it as "bacterial SSU rRNA". It matches the Rfam family "Eukaryotic small subunit ribosomal RNA", at positions 1000 to 1410 of the family's 1831-position model. Lineage: Eukaryota; Metazoa; Onychophora; Udeonychophora; Euonychophora; Peripatopsidae. The record is from RNAcentral.
GAAGGCGAUCAGAUACCGCCCUAGUUCUGACCGUAAACGAUGCCACCUGACGAUCCGCCAGGGUUACUACCAUGACUCGGCGGGCAGUCCCCGGGAAACCCAAGCCUUCGGGUUCCGGGGGAAGUAUGGUUGCAAAGCUGAAACUUAAAGGAAUUGACGGAAGGGCACCACCAGGAGUGGAGCCUGCGGCUUAAUUUGACUCAACACGGGGAACCUCACCCGGCCCGGACACCGCGAGGAUUGACAGAUUGAGAGCUCUUUCUCGAUUCGGUGGGUGGUGGUGCAUGGCCGUUCUUAGUUGGUGGAGCGAUUUGUCUGGUUAAUUCCGAUAACGAACGAGACUCUAGCCGUUUAUAGCCCGAGCGGUUUUUGAUCUUUGCCGUCCAUACUCGUCCCGACCUUCCGCGCUU